GCCCCGGUAGCUCAGUUGGAUAGAGCGUCCGCCUCCUAAGCGGAAGGUCCCAGGUUCGAAUCCUGGUCGGGGCGCCA
This 77-nucleotide transfer RNA is filed under the name Thiotrichales bacterium. RNAcentral describes it as "tRNA-Arg". It matches the Rfam family "tRNA". Rfam says of the family: Transfer RNA (tRNA) molecules are approximately 80 nucleotides in length. Their secondary structure includes four short double-helical elements and three loops (D, anti-codon, and T loops). The record is from RNAcentral. Lineage: Bacteria; Pseudomonadati; Pseudomonadota; Gammaproteobacteria; Thiotrichales.